GAGGAAGUCAUUGGUACUUUUCUUAGUUUGUCAGCUAUUUUACUCUACUUCAGGGGUAACAGGUGUCCAAAUGACCAUUUCUGCAUGCGCAGUUUGGAUAACUGCAUGGAUAAAGGGGUGCAAUCCAGACCAGCAAGAGGUUGCGUCACUGCCUGCCCUGAAGCACUGGAUGCCGUAAAAUGCUCUGCUCCCAGAAAGCAUACAAGCAUGCCAUCAAGUGUCUGUGUGAUAAGCAGCCAUGUUUCAGUAACUGACUCCACAGCCUGCUUGUUAAACCACAGAAACACACUGAUAUCCACCAGCUUUGGUUACAACAGCCAAGUGACCCCAAACACUACCAAUUCUGCAU
Mauremys mutica (yellowpond turtle) is the source of this 349-nucleotide long non-coding RNA. RefSeq lists it as uncharacterized. The transcript has 3 exons. The record is from RefSeq and is a predicted model, not a curated record. Lineage: Eukaryota; Metazoa; Chordata; Testudines; Geoemydidae.